GAGUCCAACUCCCGCCCCACUCGCCUAUUGGACAAUCUCAAAGCAACGCCGCCACGGUCUCAACUUCCCCCGCCUCUGACUGGCUGAUGGAAAUGCCAAUCAAGCGGACGAGUGGGUCUGCCAGUCCACACACGCCCCACCCUCCUCUGCAUGGGCGGGGCUUGUUUGAUCGGCGGAUUCGCGUGGAAGGCGAGAGGGAGUGAGACGGCACAAGGCAGUGUGCGGGGAGGACAUGGUUAAAGACACGUCCAGUGGAUUCUCAGUACCCACAAAAACACCGGGAUCAAAAGACGCCUAUUUUUUUUUUUUUAUUGCUCAGCUAUUCACGGAUUGUUCAUUGCCGGUGUGGAUUAUAAAAAAAACAAACACCUUUUUUUUCCAAUGAAAAAUAAAAUAAAAGCCUGACCGGUUCGGUAAUGCGGAGCGCAGAUAGCCAGACGCUCGUUGGAUUUCUGUGUACAUAUUUUUUUAAGAAACAGAAAAUGUACGGUUAAUCUUGCAGUUUAAAAGUGUGUUGGAUUUGGCGUCGAAAACAAUAAAACUUAAAACAUUGCGAGGCGAAAUGUUGGCUUUAUUUACAGGACAAAAUGGCGCCGGCGGGAGCCCGCCCCACCUAAGGUGGAGCCCGGGUGCUGCUCGCUGCUCAACCACUCGCGGUUCUUUUGUCCGGCCUGCGAAAUGGCUUCCUGUACACCAGCUGCAGUGCCAAAGUGCAAACGAUUUUGCUUUUGAAGCAGUAUAUUUAGUUGAUAUGUCGAAAUUCCCAUGAGUUGGCCCAGUUUUCACGAGGAAUCAUUUGUUUUGAAGAAAAUUGGUCUUACUUGCCCAUGAUCAGAAAGGCUCGUUAUCUCCACUGAUGUAUUUCACAACAGGAGGAAUAUUCCAAUGUUAAAUUCCAUUUCCAGUAAUAAUAAAAUAUUAGGUGCAGGGGAAGCAUCAUAAAGACUUUACAUAUUUUAUUUAAUAUUACAGCAAGCUUGUAUAAGGGAGCUGAUUCAAGUGUGAACAUCUUAAAGUCAAAUGUUUUGUUGUAUUCUAGGGCCUUUUAAAAUCCCAGCUGAUGUUAAACAUCCACAAAUGAUGAACUAAUCUUUGUCCAACACAUCUUACACCAGUCUACAUCUUGUGUGUACCCCUGUGUCAUGCCCAUCUGAUUGAGCCUUUUGAAACAUGAAUGUUGUUUGGAAAAAUUAUAAUCUUAGAUGCUGGGCACUCCCUGAUGAUGUGAGUGUUUUGUAAUGUACUAGGCAUUCUUUUUCCUAAUGGAAGCAUUGUGUAAUUUUCGAGCAAGUAGUUUAAGGAUUGGAUACAGAUUUAAAUAUAUUAAAACCUAAAUCUAUAGUGACAA
Long non-coding RNA from Amblyraja radiata (thorny skate), 1348 nucleotides. RefSeq lists it as uncharacterized. The record is from RefSeq and is a predicted model, not a curated record. The transcript has 2 exons. Lineage: Eukaryota; Metazoa; Chordata; Chondrichthyes; Rajiformes; Rajidae.